Homo sapiens (human) is the source of this 575-nucleotide long non-coding RNA. Ensembl annotates it as long intergenic non-protein coding RNA 1539. Lineage: Eukaryota; Metazoa; Chordata; Mammalia; Primates; Hominidae. The record is from Ensembl.
GUACCCGUUUGAGUGGUCCACUUCUCAGUCCAACUCUGAUCUUGGUGUGCAGGGCAGCAGUAAAGAGAUCUGGAGUCUGGGAAGUUCAAGAGCAUGGCACCAACAUCUGGCAAGGGCUUUCAUUCUGCAUCAUCUCAUGGAGGAAAAUAAAAAGGCAAGUGAGUGUGAGAGAGCAAGAGAGCAAGAAAAGGAAAGGGGGUCAAACUCACCCUUUUAUCACGAAAACACUCUAUCGAUAACAGCAUUGAUCCAUUCAUGAGGGAAGACCCCUCAUGUCCUAGUCACCUCUUAAAGGUCCAACCUUUCAACACUGGUUGCAUUGGGGAUUAAGUUUCAACACAUGCUUUUUGGGUGGCAUAAUUAAACCAUAACACACUUGUUAUUAGGUCAGGAGAUUUCCCAAGGUCAGAACAGUGACAGAGCUAAGCCCUGAACUUUUGUGACCUUCAAACCAGGAUUGUUUCCACAAUUUGUCAUACAUGGAUAUUUAGAACAUACUUUAGAAGUGGAGGAAAGAAUAAAAUAAUUUGAAGAUGGAGUACCCAAAAGCUGUGCCAGACAAGUCCAUUGAAACU